This 449-nucleotide ribosomal RNA is filed under the name uncultured bacterium. Its description in RNAcentral is "partial 16S ribosomal RNA". It matches the Rfam family "Bacterial small subunit ribosomal RNA", at positions 29 to 523 of the family's 1533-position model. The record is from RNAcentral.
AACGAACGCUGGCGGCAUGCCUAACACAUGCAAGUCGAACGAAGCCUUCGGGCUUAGUGGCGCACGGGUGCGUAACGCGUGGGAAUCUGCCCUUGGGUUCGGAAUAACAGUUAGAAAUGACUGCUAAUACCGGAUGAUGACGUAAGUCCAAAGAUUUAUCGCCCAAGGAUGAGCCCGCGUAGGAUUAGCUUGUUGGUGAGGUAAAAGCUCACCAAGGCGACGAUCCUUAGCUGGUCUGAGAGGAUGAUCAGCCACACUGGGACUGAGACACGGCCCAGACUCCUACGGGAGGCAGCAGUGGGGAAUAUUGGACAAUGGGCGAAAGCCUGACCCAGCAAUGCCGCGUGAGUGAUGAAGGCCUUAGGGUUGUAAAGCUCUUUUACCCGGGAUGAUAAUGACAGUACCGGGAGAAUAAGCUCCGGCUAACUCCGUGCCAGCCGCCGCCGUAA